CUGAGGACACCACAGCAGCAGUGCCCACGGCUGCUGCCGUAGAAACUGCCGAGUUGACUGUUGAAGCUGGUGAGGGCCAUCCUGUGCAGGACAUCUGUGAUUGGGAGAUGCCUGAAGAUAGGGCUUUGGAGUCCGACCCUUCUGAUCAUCCA
Cebus imitator (Panamanian white-faced capuchin) is the source of this 152-nucleotide long non-coding RNA. RefSeq lists it as uncharacterized. The record is from RefSeq and is a predicted model, not a curated record. NCBI's taxonomy places the organism in Eukaryota, Metazoa, Chordata, Mammalia, Primates, Cebidae. The transcript has 2 exons.